RNAcentral lists this ribosomal RNA (121 nucleotides) under Pogona vitticeps (central bearded dragon). The record is from RNAcentral. Lineage: Eukaryota; Metazoa; Chordata; Lepidosauria; Squamata; Agamidae.
UUUGUGGAUUUUAUUACUUUGAACACACUGGAUCUUGUCUGAUUUCUGAAGCAAAGCAAGUUUGGGCCUGAUUAAUAUUUAGAUGGAUGGCUACCAAAGAAUCUCUUAGUAGGUCUUGGAA